This 253-nucleotide ribosomal RNA is filed under the name uncultured prokaryote. Its description in RNAcentral is "partial 16S ribosomal RNA". It matches the Rfam family "Bacterial small subunit ribosomal RNA", at positions 525 to 777 of the family's 1533-position model. The record is from RNAcentral.
ACGGGGGGGGCAAGCGUUGUUCGGAAUUACUGGGCGUAAAGGGUUUGUAGGUGGCUUGCUAAGUCAGACGUGAAAUCCCUCAGCUUAACUGGGGAACUGCGUCUGAGACUGGCGAGCUUGAGUGCAGGAGAGGAACGCGGAAUUCCAGGUGUAGCGGUGAAAUGCGUAGAUAUCGUGAGGAACACCAGAGGCGAAGGCGGCUACCUGGACAAUUGCUGACGCUCAGGCACGAAAGCGUGGGGAGCAAAAGGGA